AGAGUAGUCGGUCGUCCCUUGUGGUCGGUGUACAGUGGUGCAUGGUUGUCGUCAGCUCGUGUCGUGAGAUGUUGGGUUAAGUCCCGCAACGAGCGCAACCCUCGUCCUAUGUUGCCAGCGGGGUCAUGCCGGGGACUCAUGGGAGACUGCCGGGGUCAACUCGGAGGAAGGUGGGAUGACGUCAAAUCAUCAUGCCCCUUAUGUCUUGGGCUUCACGCAUGCUACAAUGGCCGGUACAAAGGGCUGCGAUACCGCGAGGUGGAGCGAAUCCCAGAAAGCCGGUCUCAGCUCGGAUUGGGGUCUGCAACUCGACCCCAUGAAGUCGGAGUCGCUAGUAAUCGCAGAUCAGCAACGCUGCGGUGAAUACGUUCCCGGGCCUU
Molecule: ribosomal RNA, 380 nt
Filed under: uncultured Cellulomonas sp.
Lineage: Bacteria; Bacillati; Actinomycetota; Actinomycetes; Micrococcales; Cellulomonadaceae
Description: bacterial SSU rRNA
Rfam family: Bacterial small subunit ribosomal RNA
Source: RNAcentral